RNA transcript from Lagopus muta (rock ptarmigan), 4301 nucleotides. It is a transcript of the gene named Mab-21 domain containing 2, with no coding region annotated. The record is from RefSeq and is a predicted model, not a curated record. The transcript is spliced from 3 exons. Lineage: Eukaryota; Metazoa; Chordata; Aves; Galliformes; Phasianidae.
AGCGCUGCCGCUUGUUGAUCGCGGCGCCCGGCGCCCUCCGCGCCUCCCGGGCCCCGCAGGCAGCCCCGCGCCCGGGCUUGCCGCUGCGCUGCGGCUUGCGUUCUUCCAUUGCAACAUUGCUUUUUUUUUUUUUUAAUUUAUUUCCUUCUCUCUCUUUUUUUUUUUUUUUUUUUUUUUUUUUUUUUUUUUUUGCAUGAAGAUGGCGGCGCCUCUCGCCAGCAAAGCAGGGUCCGCCGGCACCAACAGCAAGCCUCCUUUCCCGGAGCUGGAUUUCCGAUCGGGAGCCAGGGUGGAGGAAUUGAAUAAACUCAUCCAGGAAUUCACCAAGCACGAUCAGAGGGAGUACGACGAUCAGCGAGCCCUGGAGAUCCACACGGCGAAAGACUUCAUCUUCUCCAUGCUGGGCAUGGUUCAGAAACUUGACCAGAAGCUUCCUGUAGCCAAUGAGUACCUGCUCCUUUCAGGUGGUGUGCGGGAAGGCGUGGUGGACAUUGAUCUUGAUGAGCUGAAUGUUUAUGCGCGAGGCACAGACUAUGACAUGGACUUCACCCUGCUGGUGCCUGCACUGAAGCUGCAUGACCGCAACCAACCGGUGACGCUGGACAUGCGCCACUCGGCGCUGUGCCACUCCUGGCUGAGCCUGCGGCUGUUUGAUGAAGGAACUAUCAGCAAAUGGAAGGAUUGCUGCACCAUUGUGGACCAUAUCAACGGAGCUACCAAUUACUUCUUCUCUCCAACUAAAGUUGCGGACUGGUUCUAUGACUCCAUUAGCAUUGUCCUCUCUGAGAUCCAGAAGAAGCCUCAGCGAGGGAUGCCAAAGGUGGAGAAGGUAGAAAAGAAUGGGACGAUCAUAUCCAUCAUCUUGGGAGUGGGCAGCAGCCGAAUGCUGUACGACAUUGUUCCUGUGGUGUCCUUCAAAGGCUGGCCAGCUGUGGCCCAGAGCUGGCUAAUGGAGAACCACUUCUGGGAUGGAAAGAUCACAGAGGAGGAAGUCAUAAGUGGGUUUUACUUGGUGCCUGCGUGUUCCUACAAGGGGAAAAAGGACAAUGAAUGGAGGCUGUCAUUUGCCAGAAGUGAAGUUCAGCUGAAAAAGUGCAUCUCCAGCAGCCUCAUGCAAGCCUAUCAAGCCUGCAAAGCUAUCAUCAUCAAAUUGCUGUCCCGCCCCAAAGCCAUUAGUCCAUAUCACUUGCGGAGCAUGAUGCUAUGGGCUUGUGACAGGCUACCAGCCAACUACUUGGCCCAGGAAGACUAUGCCGCCCACUUCCUCCUGGGUCUUAUCGAUGAUCUCCAGCACUGCUUGGUCAACAAGAUGUGUCCUAACUACUUCAUCCCCCAGUGCAACAUGCUGGAGCACCUCUCUGAAGAAACCGUCAUGCUGCACGCACGGAAGCUGUCCUCAGUCCGCUCAGACCCCGCUGAACACCUCCGAACUGCCAUUGAACACGUCAAAGCAGCCAACCGGCUAACGCUAGAACUCCAACGGCGAGGCAGCACCACCAGCAUCCCCUCGCCACAGUCAGAUGGAGGGGACACCAACCAGCCUGAUGACCGACUAGCCAAAAAGUUGCAACAGCUAGUGACUGAGAACCCAGGGAAGUCCAUCUCCGUCUUCAUUAACCCAGAUGAUGUCACAAGGCCCCACUUCAGAAUCGAUGAUAAAUUUUUCUGAGCUUUCGUCAGUGUUUUGGGGGAUUUUUUCUUCUGUUUCAUUAUUUUGAAAUACUUACAGAGUGCAGGUUUUUUCAGUUGUUUUUUCCUUGAUGACUUAGUCUCUUGUUUUUUACAUAUCCAGCAUAGAUUGGAUCUGUUGAGAACAACCUGAAUAAAUUAUAAUUCCUGGUUCUGCAGGACGGUGCAGAUUUUGAAAUAGUACAUUACAAUUUCAUAUGCUGCUUUGUUGGUUUUUUUUUUUUUUUUUUUUUUUUUUUUUUGAGGCAUCCAUCCGCAUUUGUGAGUAGUUUCUAAAGGCGAACAUACACUAUAGACAUACAUACCAGUGUUAGACAGAUUUUUUUUUUUUUCAAGCUUCCAGAAUUUCUAUAUACUGUUGGACCCCUGAAAGGGAGAACUCAUUUUCUGCUGUGUAGGAAAUUCACUUUUUGUUUUUUUUCUCCAUGAGCUUCCAUCACCCUAAAGAAAUGAGAGAGACUUUGGGUUGGAAAGCACUACUGGUAAUUUGAUGAGGCCAAAUCUAGCGGGCUGAAGCCCAGUUCAUCUGUUCUUCACACUUUUCCUACCUGGGGAGAACGCUGACUUUAGAGAUAUUGAUGGUUUUGGGAGGAAGAGUUGUUUCUGUUUUGAUCUACUUUUUGAAUGUAAUUGUUCAUAAUUGGACCUUGUGUAGUCCAGAGGGUUGUUUCUGCUGCUUUCCCGUGCGGAAUAAGGUUAUGGAAUGUUAGUUUUAGUGUGUGUAAUUAUUCAAAGCCUUAUUUAAAUUCUAUUAAAGAACAUACCAUUAUAAAUGUUAAUUGCACUAAUGAAAUCUCUGCCAUUACCUCAGUCCCACUGUUUGUGUUUCUUUCAUGAAUUAGCUCUGUUAUUAGGUACCAGUAUUGCGGAAUGCUCAAGGCCCUUUGGGUCUCAUGGUUUCAGGUGAUCUCUUGAUUGUCUUUUGUAAAAGACUUCCUUGUUAGCCCUGCGAUGUUUGAGAAGUCAGGUUUUUGCAUUGGCGUAUUUCUUUGGAUGCGUGUCGUGUGUUGCAGUGCAUAUUGCAUUAAUAUGUAUUGCAUGUUGUUGAAACAAGAUAAAGACGUAAUGCUAAAGAAGUGGUAUGUGCAAAGUGAGUCGGCCAGACCUCGAGCAAAGGAGCUGUCUUGCUUCUCUAAUGCAUGUAUGAGGCCUGAUCCUUCAUGGCAUUUACCAUUCCCGUGACUCCCGUGGACUUUUCUGACUCACCGUGGGACAUGAGAGAUCUUACUUUGGUCUCCUGUUUGCAGAAAUUGUUUGUGUGUAAACUUGUAGUGCGACAGUAACGAGGGUUAGUCUGAGCCAAAAAUAAUUCUAAGUAUAAUAAUAAUAUCAAGGAUGAUAAUUCCAAGGAUUCCACGUUCAAGGAUAGAGUGGCUUUUUUGUGCCUGGCUGGCCAGUGACUGAUAUUUAGGCCUUAAAUCAGCAAUUUGGGCUUAUUGAUUUUCCCAGAGAAGCUGUUCUGAUCCAAACUUGAUGCAUGUUUUAAAAUGUGAUUAUUAGAGCAGCUUGAAGUAUUUUUAAAAUACGUGACAGACAAAUGAGGAGCAUAUAAAUGAGGAGUAAAUUCUAACAGAUAAAAAUCCUGUUUGAAAAAUGUGUCACUUCUUUCUCCUAGCCUGUCAGGUAAUGAAACCAGGCUGGUGGAGCAGCACACCAGCAGCAUUGGAAACUGUGUUAUUUUGUCAGAUGGCAGGGAGGUUUUGAUGCCUAUCUAUUGCCCAAGUCAUAUCUUAAAACGAAAUUUUGGCUCCUCCAUCUCUUAGGCAUACUUUGUUUCACUGCUGUGGCCAAGAUGCUCAAAUUUACCUGAAUUUACUGGUACACACUGAUAUGAGCCUGAAGAAGCUCUCCGAAGUUGUUGGCUAGAUGAAGUGGAUGAGGAUUUAACUUCAAAGCACAACUGGCAGUGAUGGUGAGCCCUGGUGCAGCUGCAGUGAUGGCCUGGAGAAGGACAUGUAUUGACUUCAGUGAGGCAGAAGUCACUGGCUCCUACCAGUGUGGCUGUUGCCAAAGAUGAGUCUCUAUGUAAAUCCAUGUACCUGCCAGCAGAGGCUGGAGGACCAGCUGGGAAUCCUCCCCAGGCGUACUUGGAAAAUGUAGAUUCAUUGAAAUCAUCUUUUCUCCAAUCUCCAGGACUUCUGUCUGCUGGGAAGAGAGCCUGAGCUCCACAAUGAAAUGUCCCACUGCCACAUGAGAGAUCUGCUCCACACAAGGCACCAGUAGCCUGGCAGGCAGAGCCCCUGGGAGCCCCACUGUCUGCUCCUGCUCCUGAGUUAUGCAGCUCUCAGCCUUCUUCAUGCCAGUUCAACAUCCCGAUGACCAGCAGUUUGGCUGGCCCAUGUCAAGCUCUGGUUCAGCAUGGGAUACGUUUUGCCAGUUUGUUUUGUAUUACAGAGAGUGUGUUGGAAAGGUCAGUGGGCAACUGAGCACAGUGAUGUUCAGAUUCUCUUGACGUUGGCUCGGUGAUUAGAAAUAUUCAGCAUGUAAAUAGCUUGUUCAACAUCAGCAAGUACAUCAUCUCCCUCCUGCCAGCUUGCUUAGGGUGAGCUAAUGGACUUUUAACAUUAUGCAGCUGAGAGAGUUGCUGUCUCUAAUAGCUCCUGAUUAAACUC